Molecule: long non-coding RNA, 625 nt
Filed under: Phoenix dactylifera (date palm)
Lineage: Eukaryota; Viridiplantae; Streptophyta; Magnoliopsida; Arecales; Arecaceae
Description: long non-coding RNA (PDAC_LNC019740)
Source: RNAcentral
AUAUGCAUUGUGGCAGGACAGUUUAUCGUUUGCCUAUUUUCCUGCGAGGUACUGUGUUCAUCCAGGUCAUAGCUUGAGUCUAAUGAAAUGUUUCAGUUGAUGGCUUUUUGUGUAUGCAGUUGGACUUGGGAUUUAUUAAGCUAUAAUGUUUUGCUCUUUGUUUGUUCCUGCGUAUUCUCACUAUUACUUUUCAAAUUACCUGCGAACAAGUUUUCCAGGUGUGCUUCAGCUAUGCUUGGCAAAAAUAUGUUGCUGAAGUUUAUCGCCAUCAUGCUGAGGUUGCAGUGUUAGCUAGCUGAUCAAAUGAGAGUCUGAGCUUGAUUUCGCAUUUAAGGUUCAAAACUAAUUUCAAGCUGAAAUCAAACAAAUGCUUCAUUUCAAGUUGAAUUUGAUCAUACCCAGGCUUGAUCAUGUCCUAGUGAUGGCUGCAAAAGUGUUGCCUUCGCCUUUGUGCCGUGUAGUUCAUGAUUCAUGCCUUCUCCUUCCCUUCUUUAGUCCUCUUUGAUUGGGGAGAGGUCCUGGCCUCUGGUUUAUCUAGUCAAACCAGCAUGAUGGGUGGGUUCGAAAGGGUUCGAAGUUGUUUGGUAUUUCCUUUUUAUAUUUGGGUAUGGUAAGCCGCUUGCAU